UACGGAGGAUGCGAGCGUUAUCCGGAUUUAUUGGGUUUAAAGGGAGCGUAGACGGGGGGAUUAAGUCAGUUGUGAAAGGCUGCGGCUCAACCGCAGCACUGCAGUUGAUACUGGUUUCCUUGAGUGCGGUUGAGGUGUAUGGAAUUCGUGGUGUAGCGGUGAAAUGCUUAGAUAUCACGAAGAACUCCGAUUGCGAAGGCAGAACACUAAGCCGUAACUGACGUUGAGGCUCGAAAGUGUGGGUAUCAAACAGG
This 254-nucleotide ribosomal RNA is filed under the name uncultured Bacteroidaceae bacterium. RNAcentral describes it as "partial 16S ribosomal RNA". It matches the Rfam family "Bacterial small subunit ribosomal RNA", at positions 524 to 776 of the family's 1533-position model. Lineage: Bacteria; Pseudomonadati; Bacteroidota; Bacteroidia; Bacteroidales; Bacteroidaceae. The record is from RNAcentral.